This 703-nucleotide ribosomal RNA is filed under the name uncultured Actinomycetes bacterium. Its description in RNAcentral is "bacterial SSU rRNA". It matches the Rfam family "Bacterial small subunit ribosomal RNA", at positions 799 to 1506 of the family's 1533-position model. Lineage: Bacteria; Bacillati; Actinomycetota; Actinomycetes. The record is from RNAcentral.
ACCGUAAACGGUGGGCACUAGUUGUGGGAACCUUCCACGGUUUUGCGACGCAGCUAACGCAUUAAGUGCCCCGCCUGGGGAGUACGAUCGCAAGAUUAAAACUCAAAGGAAUUGACGGGGCCCCGCACAAGCAGCGGAGCAUGCGGCUUAAUUCGACGCAACGCGAAGAACCUUACCAAGGCUUGACAUAUAGGGAAAAGUGGCAGAGAUGUCAUGUCCGCAAGGGCUCUAUACAGGUGGUGCAUGGUUGUCGUCAGCUCGUGUCGUGAGAUGUUGGGUUAAGUCCCGCAACGAGCGCAACCCUCGUUCUGUGUUGCCAGCAUUUAGUUGGGGACUCACAGGAGACUGCCGGGGUUAACUCGGAGGAAGGUGGGGAUGACGUCAAAUCAUCAUGCCCCUUAUGUCUUGGGCUGCACGCAUGCUACAAUGGCCGGUACAGAGGGCUGCAAUACCGUAAGGUGGAGCGAAUCCCAAAAAGCCGGUCUCAGUUCGGAUUGAGGUCUGCAACUCGACCUCAUGAAGUUGGAGUUGCUAGUAAUCGUAGAUCAGCAACGCUACGGUGAAUACGUUCCCGGGGCUUGUACACACCGCCCGUCACGUCACGAAAGUCGGUAACACCCAAAGUCAGUGGCCCAACCGCAAGGGGGGAGCUGCCUAAGGUGGGAUCGGUGAUUGGGACGAAGUCGUAACAAGUAACAAUCGA